RNAcentral lists this ribosomal RNA (497 nucleotides) under uncultured bacterium. Its description in RNAcentral is "partial 16S ribosomal RNA". It matches the Rfam family "Bacterial small subunit ribosomal RNA", at positions 28 to 507 of the family's 1533-position model. The record is from RNAcentral.
GAUGAACGCUGGCGGCGUGCCUAAUACAUGCAAGUCGAGCGAACAGAUGAGGAGCUUGCUCCUCUGACGUUAGCGGCGGACGGGUGAGUAACACGUGGAUAACCUACCCAUAAGACUGGGAUAACUUCGGGAAACCGGAGCUAAUACCGGAGAAUAUAUUGAACCGCAUGGUUCAAUAGUGAAAGACGGUUUUGCUGUCACUUAUAGAUGGAUCCGCGCCGCAUUAGCUAGUUGGUAAGGUAACGGCUUACCAAGGCAACGAUGCGUAGCCGACCUGAGAGGGUGAUCGGCCACACUGGAACUGAGACACGGUCCAGACUCCUACGGGAGGCAGCAGUAGGGAAUCUUCCGCAAUGGGCGCAAGCCUGACGGAGCCACGCCGCGUGAGUGAUGAAGGUCUUCGGAUCGUAAAACUCUGUUAUUAGGGAAGAACAAAUGUGUAAGUAACUAUGCACGUCUUGACGGUACCUAAUCAGAAAGCCACGGCUAACUACGUG